RNAcentral lists this ribosomal RNA (495 nucleotides) under uncultured bacterium. RNAcentral's name for it is "bacterial SSU rRNA". It matches the Rfam family "Bacterial small subunit ribosomal RNA", at positions 33 to 507 of the family's 1533-position model. The record is from RNAcentral.
GACGACGCUGGCGGCGUGCCUAACACAUGCAAGUCGAACGGUCCGGCACUCCAACCGACCCUCAGUCUAACUGUAGGGGAAGUUGAGUGCCGGAUAGUGGCGGACGGGUGAGUAACGCGUGGGCAACCAACCCUGUACAGUGGGAUAACACCGGGAAACCGGUGCUAAUACCGCAUGACACUUAACCGGCGCAUGCUGGUUAGGUUAAAGGGCAAAACCGGUACAGGACGGGCCCGCGUCCCAUUAGCUAGUUGGUGAGGUAACGGCUCACCAAGGCGACGAUGGGUAGCCGACCUGAGAGGGUGGCCGGCCACACUGGGACUGAGACACGGCCCAGACUCCUACGGGAGGCAGCAGUGGGGAAUAUUGCGCAAUGGACGAAAGUCUGACGCAGCGACGCCGCGUGAGCGACGAAGGCCUUCGGGUCGUAAAGCUCUGUUCUUGGGGACGAAUGAGAUGACGGUACCCAAGGAGAAAGCCCCGGCUAACUACGUG